Molecule: long non-coding RNA, 628 nt
Filed under: Homo sapiens (human)
Lineage: Eukaryota; Metazoa; Chordata; Mammalia; Primates; Hominidae
Description: HSALNT0189879
Source: RNAcentral
GUGGUUCGCAGGAAGCAUACACUGGCUUUUUGAUUCUUGCUAGUUCCCAGCUCACAGUUUGGGAGGAUCCAACACCAACCUUUACGUGAAGUGGAGGCCCAAGGACAGUGAGGAGCUGGGUGGUCCCAGCCUGGAGCUGUGCCAGCCUGACAUGGGCUACACUCAGGUCUUUGCUGUCUGGUUCCAGAGCCGAACCUUCUUUCCCCCACGCACAGGAAUCUUUCCUUUCCGGUGACCAGGGCCCUGCAGAUGUCGCCAGGAAAGUGGUGAUCCAGGCAGGACCAGGCUGCACUGAAGGGACAGAGAGCACCUGAGCAAGUGAGCUUGUGAAGAAGGGUAGAUUCUAAGAAAUGGACGAAGAGGAAGGGGCAAAAACCCCUCCCACCUAGAUGAAGAUCCCUAGAUUAAAGAUCCAGUAUGGGAGCAGAUAGACACUUAUGAUUGUGUGAAAGUGGCAUCAUCACUAAAAUGGAGGCAAACGACCAUUUUAACUUUACUGGCCUUCCCCCUGCACCUGCUGCCUCAGGACUGAAACCCUCUCCUUCCUCAGGGGAGGGCCUCUACACUAACGGGUCUCCCAUGAACUUCCCCCAGCAAGGGAAAAGUUUGAAUGGGGAUGUGAAUGUUA